Molecule: long non-coding RNA, 1109 nt
Filed under: Carassius auratus (goldfish)
Lineage: Eukaryota; Metazoa; Chordata; Actinopteri; Cypriniformes; Cyprinidae
Description: lncRNA (ENSCARG00000026951.1)
Source: RNAcentral
GAUUUUUUAUCUCUGAUUUUCUGCAGGUUGCAGGAGCUGACCGUUUGCUUUGAUUUUAACGUAGACGUGCACGACAUCGAGCUCAUCCAGUACAUCAAAGUGGACUGCUGUAAAUUGAAACGCCUUCUGCAAGGUUUGAUUGACUCAAACUCAGGUUUUAAUAUUCUGAAAUAAUAUAUGAAAUAUAAUCUAUUUUUCUUUUAAUGUGUCAAGUCUUUUCUUCUUGCAGAAAGUGUGUUUAAAUUUAAAGCCUUAAAUAAGCCAGCCCAGUUGAGUGCUAUCUACAAUUUAGAGAAGAGUUUGACGUUUAAGGACAAAAUGAUUGUGAAACUCAUCCAUGCAGAUCCCAAAUUGAUGCUACAUGUGAGUGGAGAGACUUAGCUUUCUUUGGCUUUAUAAAGACAUGCUCUGAGUCUGCUGUACUAUUCAUGUCAGGACAGGAGUGUUUGUGAACCUGAAUCUAGGUAAACAGGUUCUGGAGGUCCACAGCAGCACUACAGAUCUCAUCACAGGCCUGGUGCAGAUUGUGCCGCUUGAGAACAUGGGAGAUAUUUCCCAGGAGGCCUUGGAGGUAAGGUCAUUGAAUCUCGCUGUGUAUCUGGUGCAUCUAGCAUGAGUUCAGAUAGUCUAUAUGUAAGUUUUCAGUCGUAAUCUGUGUCUGUUUUAGGCUCUUCUGGUCCUGCAUCAGCCUGAAAGCAUCGAGCUUUGGAACCCAGACGCUCCUGUGAAAACUUUCUGGGACAUCAGGUAGCUUGUGGUAGCAUCACUUUGCCGUGUUGAUUGUGUAUGUGUUGUUGGAUCAGUUCUCAUGAACUGCUCUCUUCUUCAUCUGUAGGAAGCUGUUUGGUCUGCAGCUGAUCAGCAGCACUGAGAUUCUGAAGUGGAUUCAAAAGAUUCUCACCUGCACAAACACAUUUCUUCUCAGGAACAAAGAUCAGGCCACAGCAGGCAGUCACAUCACCAUCUGCCUGCAGGCCUAGACCAAGCUGGAGGUCUGUCUUUACAUGUUCCCGUGGAGUCCAGACACGGAGGCAGUUCUGGUGGACAUGUCCUGUUUCCACUACCUGUGUGAGUGUUUCAUGGUGUUUGCAUCCGUCAGUAACAUGAUG